RNAcentral lists this ribosomal RNA (859 nucleotides) under uncultured bacterium. RNAcentral describes it as "bacterial SSU rRNA". It matches the Rfam family "Bacterial small subunit ribosomal RNA", at positions 53 to 901 of the family's 1533-position model. The record is from RNAcentral.
AUACUGCAGUCGAGCGGACCGACGGGAGCUUGCUCCCUUAAGUCAGCGGCGGACGGGUGAGUAACACGUGGGUAACCUGCCUGUAAGACUGGGAUAACUCCGGGAAACCGGGGCUAAUACCGGAUGCUUGAUUGAACCGCAAGGUUCAAUUCUAAAAAGGGGGUUUUAGCUUCCCCUUUCCAAAGGGACCCGCGGCCCAUUACCUUGUUGGGGAGGUACCGCUUCCCCAGGGCAACAAUCCUAACCCAACUGAGGGGGGGAACCGGCACCCCGGGAACGAAAACCCGCCCAAACCCCCACGGGGAGGCACCAUGGGGAAUUCUCCCCCAUGGAACAAAGUUAGAAAGAACCACCCCCCGAGGGAUGAUGAUGUUUUCAGGAUCUAAAACUCUUGUUGUGGGGGAAAACCAAUUCCAGUUCAAGUAGGGGGGAUCUUGGCCGGUACCUACCAAAAAGCCGCCGGCUACUUCCUUGCAGCCGCCGCCGUAAAUACGUAGGUGGCAGUGUUCGUCAGUAUUAGUCGGGCGUAAAGCGCGCGCAGGCUCUUUCAUUAUUAUGAAGGUGAAACCCCCCGGUCCACCCGGGGAGGGUCAUUGCAAACUGGGGUACUUUGAUGCAAAAGAAGAAAAUGGUACUUCCUACUGGUAGCGGUUAAAUGGAAAAAGAUGUGACGAACACCGGUUGACGAAAGCUACCUCUUUUGGUCUGUAACUGACGCUGAGCACGAAUGCGUGAGGAGCGAACAUGAUACAUACGCUGUCAGUCCCCCGUCAUAACGAUGAUGCUAUGUAGAUGCUUCCGUCUUUGAUGCUGCACGACUCAUAGCAUCCGCUGGGUAGUACGUCGCAUGACUGAAACU